Molecule: ribosomal RNA, 433 nt
Filed under: uncultured bacterium
Lineage: Bacteria
Description: partial 16S ribosomal RNA
Rfam family: Bacterial small subunit ribosomal RNA
Source: RNAcentral
AACGAACGCUGGCGGCAUGCCUAACACAUGCAAGUCGAACGAGACCUUCGGGUCUAGUGGCGCACGGGUGCGUAACGCGUGGGAACCUGCCCUUAGGUUCGGAAUAACUCCCCGAAAGGGGUGCUAAUACCGGAUAAUGUCUUCGGACCAAAGAUUUAUCGCCUUUGGAUGGGCCCGCGUUGGAUUAGCUAGUUGGUAGGGUAAAAGCCCACCAAGGCGACGAUCCAUAGCUGGUCUGAGAGGAUGAUCAGCCACACUGGGACUGAGACACGGCCCAGACUCCUACGGGAGGCAGCAGUGGGGAAUAUUGGACAAUGGGCGAAAGCCUGAUCCAGCAAUGCCGCGUGAGUGAUGAAGGCCUUAGGGUUGUAAAGCUCUUUUACCCGGGAUGAUAAUGACAGUACCGGGAGAAUAAGCUCCAGCUAACUCCGUG